Molecule: ribosomal RNA, 213 nt
Filed under: Triticum aestivum (bread wheat)
Lineage: Eukaryota; Viridiplantae; Streptophyta; Magnoliopsida; Poales; Poaceae
Description: partial small subunit ribosomal RNA
Source: RNAcentral
AUGGGCACAUGGUUGAUUGACGCGGACUACCGCUGCCCAGUGGGCAGUGUGCUCUUCAACGACUCGGAGGUGGACUUGGCCGUGAAGACCGGCGACCGCGUCGCACAGAUGAUCAUCCAGGUAAUCUCGACGCCGGAGGUCGCCGAGGAGGAGGACCUCGACGCCACAGUCCGGGGGGAGGUCCACCUGCGUCUAAACUCCGAGUCUUGGUAG